This is a long non-coding RNA of Sitophilus oryzae (rice weevil), 895 nucleotides long. RefSeq lists it as uncharacterized. NCBI's taxonomy places the organism in Eukaryota, Metazoa, Arthropoda, Insecta, Coleoptera, Curculionidae. The record is from RefSeq and is a predicted model, not a curated record. The transcript is spliced from 3 exons.
GAAGGACGAAAAAGCGCGCGCAGCCGGCUCAGUUGUUGUUCGGUGCCCGUACCGAUGGUGCCUCGCUGCUGUUGCUGCUGAGAGAGUACCAAAGGUCCUGCGGUGGUACCCGGGCCGAAAGGUGGUACUUCAAAGGGGUUGACUUGUUACGGUACGACCAGCCAGCGUCGCCAGCCGGCCUCAACAACAACAACGCAAACGGCGGCAAUUGACCCAUGUGCACGCGCCCAUCUGGCCGCAGAAUCCCCUUAUUCCCGGCCCCGGUACCACCCCAACGACCCCGAGGUACCACCCAUGGUACUACACCCCCGGAACUACCCCGGUACCACCUGGAAUCAACCCUUAGUAGGCUGGGAUGGUCUAGGGAGGCGAUGGAAGUGAACAGGUGCGAUCGUGGGGGGUUCCCCUGUCCCCGCGAACCGCCGCGUCGCUCAAGAGAGAAGAGAGAAGUCGGUCACAGCAGAAGACGCGGCGUUGGUACUACCGGCGAGGCGGUCGGCGGUGCUGCAAAGUGACGGCGGCGCCGAAGAGGUCAGCCGAGAGGUCGAAGCGGUACCGCGGACAGAGGAUGACCGAUGGCUAGCUGUAGUAGGAUGUACGUCAGUCAGCAGGUGGAUUUUUGGGUCGUGUGGGUUCAGGAUAGAAGAAAAAUUAGUUUUAGUUAAUGAUCUAGAAUCUAGAUGUAACUAUAAGUUAUUAAGUAAAUAUUUAGUUCAUAAUAUUUUUGUGCCAUUUUAUUUGAUAAGGUUGAGACUGAACUGACUGUAUUUUAUAUUAUUUUUAAGGCCUUGGCUGAAAAAAAAGCUUUAAUUCUAUUCUUAAUGACACUUUUUUAUAUUUUUUUAGGUUAAAUAAAUUUGUUGAUUGCACUAUUGGUGCAUGAAUGCAACACUUA